This 158-nucleotide ribosomal RNA is filed under the name Colletotrichum orbiculare. Lineage: Eukaryota; Fungi; Ascomycota; Sordariomycetes; Glomerellales; Glomerellaceae. The record is from RNAcentral.
AACCCUCAAGCACCGCUUGGCGUUGGGGCUUCCACGGCUGACGUGGGCCCCCAAAGACAGUGGCGGACCCUCGCGGAGCCUCCUUUGCGUAGUAACAUACCACCUCGCACCGGGACCCGCAGGCACUCCUGCCGUAAAACCCCCCAAUUUUUACAAGG